Molecule: long non-coding RNA, 1351 nt
Organism: Branchiostoma belcheri (Belcher's lancelet)
Lineage: Eukaryota; Metazoa; Chordata; Leptocardii; Amphioxiformes; Branchiostomatidae
Exons: 5
Source: RefSeq, a predicted model, not a curated record
UUGAAAGGAACAGGACGGGGGUGUUUGCUGAGAAAUUAGGGCGAUUCAAUUAGCGGGUUUGCGACAGGCAUCCGCAGAUGUCUGCAGUCGGGAAUCUGUCGCGCAAAACUUCGCGUUUGGACGAGGAAUGUUUCAAGCAGUCCUACUGUUCUCUCAAGUUGUCUCGUUUGAAUCAAAACAAGCCCAAAAAAGUAAGAAAAGUCGCCCUCCAUGUGUCCACCCGACCUAAUAUAAAUAAAGACGCCCGCUGUCGGGAAGAAAGUAGCCACUAUUGGUCCGAUGCUGGGUAAUUGAGUUUUAUGGCUUCAACUUGUGAGGUUGCAUACGUAAUGAAGUGUCACAGUCUGGAAAGUUUUCCUCGCGUCAGUCGGUGUCCACGUUCCGUCUGUGUGGCCUCAAACUUCCAGGAAUAACCGCUCUGUUUUACAUUACCGUCGGGUGUAGAUACACGGACUUCUUUCAGGACCCGCAUUGUGGGAAGGAAGGACUGACGGUCGGAGAUGUCGGGUGGGAAAAGUUUUCUUUACACCCGUAGGGGACUUCUUAGGACUGUGUCAAAGACACGCAAGUGCGAUUUGAGAGGAAAAGACAACGCCGCAUUUCUACGUAAAGCGUGUCUUCUCAUCUCAACGGAGGGAUGUCGGAAAACUUCGGCGGGUGAGGAGAAGUUUUCACGCGGUCGGAAAGUCUGAAAGUUCCCGUUGCUGGCGGAGUUGGUAACCUUUUGAACUUGGAUUGACCGGAGGUUGGCAGGAGUCUUAGGGGACAUGAGGAAGGCACGGGUUUGGACGUGGCGGGCUGGUGCCGUGAGAGUGAAGGGAGCUUCUCCCAAACGUCCUCGGCGCUAGACCGUACCUCACGCCGUAAGGAUUACCACCGAGGGCCCUUAGAAUUUACCUUGAGCAAAGCUGCUCUGGGACCCCACAUGUGCUGCUGUAGGAGUCCUCUCUUGUAAGCGGUAUGGGCUGAAGCGUACUGUAAAGGAGAGACGAAAGUCACCGGGACAGAGAGGACGGUCUCUCGGAGGACCCUACCAACGCUCCGGCCUGUAUUCUACAGGUCACUUGGUGGAGUGUAGCAACCUGGCCGCACUGGACAUCCUUGCUACAAGCACUACUACAAGCAACUGGCUACCUGGACAUUAUCAUAUCUAAAUCGUACACUAUAUAUCUAUACAGAAAACGCUUUGAAAAUCAUUUUUUGAAAAUCCUGUGUCCAUCAGCUUCAUGAUUUUUUUCAUGUUCUAUUUUGAAAAAAAAAACUUAUUCAAAAAUGUAUUCCAAAUUAUAUUUCCAAGUAAGAAAUCCUUUGUAAACUCAUUUUUUAAAAAUCCUGCCUCCAUCAGCUGCAU